CUCGCGGGUUUUGUUGAGCCUUUUUUCAGUGAUUUUUCGGUGCGAGAGAGACUUUGCCGCAACACCUCGAGCACAUUUCACGUUUGUCAAGAGCUCGCUUAGAAAUUAAGGCACUGCCAUGGCCACCUUGAUUAAAAAGGUGGCGACGGUCUUCGGACGAGUGGUCAAUCCAGAAAGUGGGGCUGCUGAAGCACUGCCUUCACCCAAAGACUGAGAAACGCGCCAGUUCAAAUGGUUGUAUAACCUACAAGGCGCAACUGGGACAAGUUUUCACGCUGCCAACAUGACCACACAAAAUCUCUAAACAUUUUUAAAAAUCAUUUCUCUGUAAAAAGAUACCCAAAUAAAAUUUUGAUUAAA
This is a long non-coding RNA of Tribolium castaneum (red flour beetle), 360 nucleotides long. RefSeq lists it as uncharacterized. The record is from RefSeq and is a predicted model, not a curated record. Lineage: Eukaryota; Metazoa; Arthropoda; Insecta; Coleoptera; Tenebrionidae. The transcript is spliced from 2 exons.